Molecule: long non-coding RNA, 1270 nt
Filed under: Rhipicephalus microplus (southern cattle tick)
Lineage: Eukaryota; Metazoa; Arthropoda; Arachnida; Ixodida; Ixodidae
Description: uncharacterized LOC119170874
Source: RNAcentral
CGCCCAUUUGAAAAACUGGAGCUUAUUGCGGAAGCCACAAACCACCCAAAGAGAAUUUGGUGCCAUGUGCCAUCUACGAUACUUCUUUCUGCAGAGCAUUUCUGAAAAACGCCAGCAUGGCCAAACAGCGAUUCGAAAGAGCUGCAAGACAGUGGAAUCCCAUAAACCACGCCAGUAGUGCAAGGAGCAUAUCUGUGGACAUGACUGGAGACACAUUUGUUCCCUUUCCCUGGCUGCUGACACAAUGCUCUAUCCACCAAAGUACACACAUUAUGCACUUUAUUACGUGCUGAGAAUGACAUGUUUAUGCAAUAACGAGCACCAACAUUUUUCAAACCAUGUGCUAUCCUGUGUAUGUAUGGGAUAACUGCCUGCCUCUUUUUCUUGCUAAUUUCUAGUGCACUAGAAUCACAAUGAUAAAACUUCUCGAUCUUUGAAAUAAGUUUUUCCGACAAGAAGCAAAUCACGUCACUCGGAAAGCCAGAAUUUGCAAGGCGAGCAAGUUGUGCAUCAAAUGCAUGCGCCAUAAGGUGCUCGCGUAACUUCUGAAGAGCGGCACCCAGCACAGUUGAUGCAAUGGCUCCCUGUAUGGUUUUGAGUGGCCAGAAUUAAAAUUUAGAAUUGGCUUUAUGAAUCUAGGUUGGUAUUGCUAUAUAUGUGAUCUUUGAUGAAAGCCUGUCUUAAAUCGAGAAACUGUAGCUCAUCAAUUUUUUGAAACUCCAAAGUGAAACGCUGACAUUUCGUUUUCCUUAACAUCUUUCUUUAUAUUAGCAACCAGUAAAGAGCGAUUGUUAAUGUCCAGUAGAACUAAGAAGUCAUGGACAUAUCAAACAGCGUGUGAUGAUAACCAAUUCAAAUGCUUUUGCAGCUGCCCGUCUACAUACCCAAGAAAAAUAUAACUAAUUACAGGUAUAUUCAUGAUUCAAUGCAGAUACCACAUUUUUGGACAAAAUUAUUUCCCUACCAAGACACAACGGUAGAAUUUAGGUGCCCUGCAUGAGCUCUAAAAACGACGCAAUAGAGAUGCCACACUGGCACUGAAACAACAACUCAUCAUUAUCUUCUCUCAUGCACUGCUUUAUACACUUCAAAUCUUCACAUUGGGGCAAACAAUAAUAUAAAUAUUUUACGUCUAUACCGAAUGCAUUACGGCACAAAGAAGGUUGUUCACUUGAACAAGAUAAGAUGAUAGAUUCUGAGUUAGAAAUUCUUAGCGGAUCACAAGUCUUCAAACGCUCCGAAUUUCUUUGAAUAUACUCUGAAACAUUUA